GAAAUGCGAUAAGUAAUGUGAAUUGCAGAAUUCAGUGAAUCAUCGAAUCUUUGAACGCACAUUGCGCCCGCCAGUAUUCUGGCGGGCAUGCCUGUUCGAGCGUCAUUUCAACCAUCAAGCCCCCGGCUUGUGUUGGGGACCUGCGGCUGCCCGCAGGCCCUGAAGAACAGUGGCGGGCUCGCUGUCACACCGAGCGUAGUAGCAUACAUUCUCGCUCAGGGCGUGCUGCGGGUUCCGGCCGUUAAACGACCUUCAUAACCCAAGGUUGACCUCGGAUCAGGUAGGAAGACCCGCUGAACUUAAGC
RNAcentral lists this unclassified non-coding RNA (305 nucleotides) under plant metagenome. RNAcentral describes it as "partial contains 5.8S ribosomal RNA, internal transcribed spacer 2, and large subunit ribosomal RNA". The stretch from base 1 to 105 matches the Rfam family "5.8S ribosomal RNA", at positions 50 to 154 of the family's 154-position model. The record is from RNAcentral.